AUCAGUAAUUAUUCCAAUAGGGGAUUUUAUAAACACUUAAAAUAAGGUCUGUGUUUUGUGUAGGUUUAUCCUAGCAUGAUAUUUUGAUAAACGUGUAAAUCUCUGUAGGACAAGAUUAAUUUGAUCAACAUAUUCGCCUCUAUUUACCCCCCAAAAAUGAAAGGCUAAUGUGACUAUCAUAAAGAACUCCAAAUGCCAUAAUGAUCUGGACGAGACUGCCGAAUCGAGGCAAAGGUAAGAAUCUCUGGAUUUAACGAUCUAAUUUUAGCUAAAUGUAGUAAUGAAUAAAUUGAAUACAUUUCUUUAAAUUGACAUUUCUGUGCAAGUUUUAAAUUGACACAAUACCUGUUAGCAAAUGUGUCAGCUAGUGUUGAUUUACAGGAGCUUGCAGACAUUUCCAGUCUUGCACGAUAUCUACUUUGAUGCUAAUUAGUAUUUUCGAAUCUGAGAGUAAAUAGAGCCUAAUAUAUUGAUAAAAGUCAACUUGUCCGAGAGAAAUUUACAGUGCCUUGCAAAAGUAUUCACCCCCUUGGCGUUUUUCCUAUUUUGUUGCUUUACAACCUGUAAUUGAAACAGAUUUGAUUUGGAUUUCAUGUAAUGGACAUACAACAAAAUAGUCCAAAUUGGUGAAAUGAAAUGAAAAAAAAAAACUUGUUUAAAAAAAUAAAAAAUAAAUUAAAACUGAAAAGUGGUGGGUGCAUAUGUAUUCACCCCCUUUGCUUUGAAGCCCCUAAAUAAGAUCUGGUGCAACCAAUUACCUUCAGAAGUCACAUAAUUAGUUAAAUAACGUCCACCUGUGUGCAAUCUAAGUGUCACAUGAUCUGUCACAUGAUCUCAGUAUAUAUACAGUUGUUCUGAAAGGCCCCAGAGUCUGCAACUCCACUAAGUAAGGGGCACCACCAAGCAAGCGGCACCACCAAGCAAGCGGCACCACCAAGCAAGCGGCACCACCAAGCAAGUGGCACUAUGAAGACCAAGGAGCUAUCCAAACAGUUGUGGAGAAGCACAGAUCAGGGUUGGGUUAUAAAAAAUAUAACACUUUGUACAUCCCACAGAGCACCAUUAAAUCCAUUAUUAAAAAAUUGAAAGAAUAUGGCACCACAACAAACCUGCCAAGAGAGGGCCGCCCCCCAAAACGG
Molecule: long non-coding RNA, 1139 nt
Organism: Oncorhynchus tshawytscha (Chinook salmon)
Lineage: Eukaryota; Metazoa; Chordata; Actinopteri; Salmoniformes; Salmonidae
Source: Ensembl